CUUAGUAUUAUAAAAGGACUGGCGAUAUGUGCAAGAAUUUCUGAGGUAAACAUUAUUUUUUAACCUGUUUUUGAUGAUUAAAGUUGGUCAUGCCGUGGCAACGUGAUGACUCAAGUCCAAGUCUGUUUACAAUUUUCAAACUAAAAAAUCUGGAAUUCCCAUGGUUCGAUUUUCGUAAUUUUUGUAAAAAAGUCAAGACAAAUGUCUAAACUAAAAAUCUGCUGGAGGGAUCCCCCGGCAGUUUUCGAGAUAUUUGGCAUUGAAGUGACCAUACUCAAUUCAACCUUUGCCAAAAUGGCGUCUAAUAUCUGGGGAAGAUAUUGCGCCACCAAAGCUUGGUUUUCACAAUGAAUUUUGAAAGUCCCCCAAUAUUAGGAUAAUUUUUCUCUACAGUAAGUGUUAAAUUACUUUUGAAAGACUAUUUAGAAGACUUAGGAGUUAUUUGCCUGUUUUUUACAGAUUUUAUAUCUGGGCUGGUAUUACUAGCCUGCAUGCCCAUCUCCUUGACAUGCAUGCCUAUCUCCUUGGCAAGUGAAAUUGUCUGGUGGUAGAGACGAUUUUAAAAGAACAGCACAUUAUAAAGUGAUCAGAUUUUCUCUCAGUGAAAAAUUUUAUGUUCCCUUUUAAUUACAGCAGUUCAGAUGUCGAUAUAGAAUUGAAAAAGGGCUUCUUCCUGAACAUCCAAGGGCAGGGCCAACUGACGAUGUUGAAGAAUGAAGACAUUUUAGCAUGGAUUACUAGUAUAGAUUAUAGUAUCUCUUGUCCUUUACGAUGUCUUUCUGAAAGUUAUUGGUGAAUACAAAUUGAGCUGUGAUCCCUCAACGUGGCCAACAACAUGCUCCACCAAAUACCUGAGCACAAUAUAGAAAGUGCACAUACAUGCA
Paramuricea clavata is the source of this 884-nucleotide non-coding RNA. The record is from the annotation of a GenBank genome assembly. NCBI's taxonomy places the organism in Eukaryota, Metazoa, Cnidaria, Anthozoa, Malacalcyonacea, Plexauridae.